RNAcentral lists this ribosomal RNA (253 nucleotides) under uncultured bacterium. RNAcentral describes it as "partial 16S ribosomal RNA". It matches the Rfam family "Bacterial small subunit ribosomal RNA", at positions 524 to 776 of the family's 1533-position model. The record is from RNAcentral.
GACGUAGGGCGCGAGCGUUGUCCGGAAUUACUGGGCGUAAAGGGCGCGUAGGCGGCCUGCUAAGUCGGAUGUGAAAUCCCUCGGCUCAACCGAGGAACUGCAUCCGAUACUGGCGGGCUUGAAUCCGGGAGAGGGAUGUGGAAUUCCAGGUGUAGCGGUGAAAUGCGUAGAUAUCUGGAGGAACACCGGUGGCGAAGGCGGCAUCCUGGACCGGUAUUGACGCUGAGGCGCGAAAGCUAGGGGAGCAAACGGG